AAUAGAUACCCGGGUAGUCCACGCCGUAAACGAUGAGUGCUAAGUGUUAGAGGGUUUCCGCCCUUUAGUGCUGCAGCUAACGCAUUAAGCACUCCGCCUGGGGAGUACGGCCGCAAGGCUGAAACUCAAAGGAAUUGACGGGGGCCCGCACAAGCGGUGGAGCAUGUGGUUUAAUUCGAAGCAACGCGAAGAACCUUACCAGGUCUUGACAUCCUCUGCCAACUCUAGAGAUAGGGCGUUCCCCUUCGGGGGACAGAGUGACAGGUGGUGCAUGGUUGUCGUCAGCUCGUGUCGUGAGAUGUUGGGUUAAGUCCCGCAACGAGCGCAACCCUUGAUCUUAGUUGCCAGCAUUCAGUUGGGCACUCUAAGGUGACUGCCGGUGACAAACCGGAGGAAGGUGGGGAUGACGUCAAAUCAUCAUGCCCCUUAUGACCUGGGCUACACACGUGCUACAAUGGAUGGUACAAAGAGUUGCGAACCCGCGAGGGUAAGCCAAUCUCAUAAAGCCAUUCUCAGUUCGGA
Molecule: ribosomal RNA, 522 nt
Filed under: uncultured bacterium
Lineage: Bacteria
Description: bacterial SSU rRNA
Rfam family: Bacterial small subunit ribosomal RNA
Source: RNAcentral